Long non-coding RNA from Athene cunicularia (burrowing owl), 2225 nucleotides. RefSeq lists it as uncharacterized. NCBI's taxonomy places the organism in Eukaryota, Metazoa, Chordata, Aves, Strigiformes, Strigidae. The transcript has 8 exons. The record is from RefSeq and is a predicted model, not a curated record.
AUGCCCUGUCUCAGUUUGCAUAGUUAAAGAGAAUGAUAAUUAAGAUCCCUUGUCUUAACCAGAAAAUAAUGACUUGGAUGUAAAUAGAAAACUGGCGAUAGUUUAAAAUAUUCUUUCAUAGCACCAAGAUAUCAGUUACCGUUCUAGGGGAAAAAAAAACGAAGAAUUUUUUUUUGUAAUCAAGACGGAUCUAACAACGCAGUCUGGGCUCCGUGCCAAAGGCUGGUAUUUCACAGCAGCGACCGCCUUACAGAUGAGCUGUGGGAAGCAGGAGGGAGACUCUCUUAGGGUGCCACUACUAUGGAGACACAGCUGGGCUGAACAAGAUUUGCUUCAAACGACAACAAGAGAGACAGAAAGUGUCUGGUUCGACCGCUGCCCAAGCAGGCAGUAACCAGAAGAGCUAGCAGCCAAUCCGGCCAUGCUGCACUGUUCGAAACCAGCUCUACAUCCCAGCCAAUCAGUGACAUCACUGGCCUGGAAAGUAGCAUUUUCUGUAGAUGCCAGCUUCUGUCUUGUGUGAUGCCUCAUUCUUCUGGUGAUGCCACAUGCAGCACUUAGUACUGGCAAAUGAAAGAGGUCUCUUGCAAUAAGGUGUACUUCCAGGUGUCUUUCCGUUUUGCAGCAGUGCCAUGUUUGCUGUUUUACAAGCCACAGAGCAUGAGAAGCCAACUUCAGGAGUAUGCAUUUUGUGAUAUCCUCAGCGUUUUCUUUUACAAUGCAUUCUGCUCAGGCCAGUGAAUUUUGUUUAACUGACCAGUGAAAGAAAAAGAAAGUUAAAAUGAGAAAUGAAACUGAAGUUAAUUAUACCAGAAUUCAGCGAAGCUGAACGGCUUCCCGAAGAGCACUGAGUUUUCUAUGCCAGAUUCUGCUCCAGUGGCUAGGACCUUUAUGGCUGCUGUUUCUUUUGCUCUGGGCUCUGAUGGAGGAAAAAAAAAAAAAAAAAAGAUCCCGUCCCUAAAGUAGAAAUUUUCUUUUUCAUUCUGCAAACAAGGCUAAAGAUCGGAGGAGAAUGAAUGCGAAAGUAAUUUGGGAUUGUGGUCGUGCCAUUAAAAGUGUUCGGCUUCAGAAUGAAAUUAUUUGGGAAAUCUGAGCAUUUCUUCUUACUGUAUCAACAGUAUUUGAAAGUUAUGUGUGCUUUGAGUAAUCUGGUUCAAGUGACAACAAUCUUUGCAUGUCAAUGUUUUCUACAGCUUAUGGAGCAAAAGCUAAUUUUGCCAUUGGAAAGGAAGAAGCUUUUGCUAGCAGCCUGUAGAAGGAUUAAAUGUUGAACGUGGGGAAGAGGCAAAAAGUGAAUACACGCCCAAAGGUUAUCCUUGCAUCGUGAUGGGUUUAAAGUACUCUAACCCAGGGCCCACCUGAACAGUAGGACUAAAAGUAUAAUGGGGAAAUAUUUCAAUUAGAAGCCCCUUAACAAGCAUUUAAUCCUUCUUUCAGGCAUUAAGGGAAAUAGCAUAAAAUUGUUAUUGUACCAAUCUGCUGGAAGCAGAUUUUAACCCAUUUUUAGAUGCUUCCCUCUGAUGCAUUAUAAUAUGGCUACUUGCAGGACGAGGAAGUGAAAAUUUUUUUCCUGUAUUCUGUUUUUUCUUUUCAAAAGUUAAGGACUAUACUCUUAAGAAAAGUCUGUUCAGUCAGCUGAUACAUUGUUUGAAUGUAUGUAUGCGUCUUGCCUGCUUAUUUGAUCUUUUCUGCCCCCUACUUGAAACUGUGGUUUGUUUAUCUGGGGGGAAGGAGGGGUUGUUAAUUUGAGGGGGAUGUUGGUUUUUGGGUUGGUUUUGGUUUGGGUUUGGGUUUUUUUAACAAUAGCAGUGAAAGUUUUACUGGCAGUGAUUAUGACUCCUAAGCAAUUCAGUUUAUUUGAAGACGAAUUCUACUGGAUCAUAUCGGACUUUUCCUAGUCCCUGAGACCCUAACUUGUGAGGUUUUUUAGCAACAAUCACAAGUCAGGCUCUUGGGACCUAGGCGGAGGGGAACCAGCAGCUUUGGACUGUGAUUGUGUCUCUGCAGAAUUUAGAGAACCAAAGGAGCUUUCCUUGUCUGGAAGGGAAAAAAAGAAAAUAUACCUAUUACAAAUGUUAAGUAGCAGAACUGUUCCUGAAAGAACUGUUAUCCAUUGUGCAACAUUAGGCUUUUACAUAUUUGUGUGUUUAGAAAGCUAGACUAGAUGCCAUGUAACAUUUAGAAUUAAAAUUUAACCUGAAUACCAGUUUGCACCUCAAAAAAAA